Molecule: ribosomal RNA, 500 nt
Filed under: uncultured Glomeromycotina
Lineage: Eukaryota; Fungi; Glomeromycota
Description: partial small subunit ribosomal RNA
Rfam family: Eukaryotic small subunit ribosomal RNA
Source: RNAcentral
CCAAUAGCGUAUAUUAAAGUUGUUGCAGUUAAAAAGCUCGUAGUUGAAUUUCGGGGUUAGCAGGUCGGUCGUGCCAUCGGUAUGAACUGGCCUCGCUGAUCCCUCCCUCUUGACGAACUGUGAUGCCAUUAAUUUGGUGUCGCAGGGAAUCAGGACUGUUACUUUGAAAAAAUUAGAGUGUUUAAAGCAGGAUAACGCUUGAAUACAUUAGCAUGGAAUAAUGAAAUAGGAAGUUUGAUCCUAUUUUGUUGGUUUCUAGGAUUGACGUAAUGAUUAAUAGGGAUAGUUGGGGGCAUUAGUAUUCAAUUGUCAGAGGUGAAAUUCUUGGAUUUAUUGAAGACUAACUACUGCGAAAGCAUUUGCCAAGGAUGUUUUCAUUAAUCAAGAACGAAAGUUAGGGGAUCGAAGACGAUCAGAUACCGUCGUAGUCUUAACCAUAAACUAUGCCGACUAGGGAUCGGAUGAUGUUAAUUUUUUAAUGACUCAUUCGGCGCCUUACG